This 198-nucleotide ribosomal RNA is filed under the name uncultured bacterium. RNAcentral describes it as "partial 16S ribosomal RNA". It matches the Rfam family "Bacterial small subunit ribosomal RNA", at positions 328 to 539 of the family's 1533-position model. The record is from RNAcentral.
ACGCUCGACACCUACGGGAGACAGCAGUGGGGAAUAUUGCACAAUGGGGGAAACCCUGAUGCAGCGACGCCGCGUGAGCGAAGAAGUAUCUCGGUAUGUAAAGCUCUAUCAGCAGGGAAGAAGAUGACGGUACCUGACUAAGAAGCACCGGCUAAAUACGUGCCAACAGCCGCGGUAAUCUGAGCGGGCUGGCAAGGC